Molecule: transfer RNA, 91 nt
Filed under: Elusimicrobiota bacterium
Lineage: Bacteria; Pseudomonadati; Elusimicrobiota
Description: Elusimicrobia bacterium (rhizosphere metagenome) tRNA-Ser
Rfam family: tRNA
About the family: Transfer RNA (tRNA) molecules are approximately 80 nucleotides in length.
Source: RNAcentral
GGAGAGGUGGCAGAGCGGUUGAAUGCGGCGGAUUGCUAAUCCGUUAUACGGGUUUAGGCCCGUAUCGAGGGUUCGAAUCCCUCCCUCUCCG